AUCAACGGCACAACACAAAGAUCUGUCAGUCACACAGGAACAAGACUCAAACCUUGAUGAACAUGGAGGCAACAGAGAAAUGAAGAGGAGGAGGAAGAAAAGAGAGGCAGGAGGAGGAGGAGGAGAGUUUAACCCAGGGCUGUGGAGUCAGCCCCCCUGCCCCUCCCCCUCUACUGCAUUUGUUUUUUUGGGGGGUGCUUCCUGUGGCGCCGGUAGACUUGCUUGACCAUUUUUUGACAGCAACAGCAGCACAAGCCACAACAGCCCUUGCUUUGGCAAAUGGCACCAUGUGGAUACAAAGCCACUGGUUUGUUUAUCUUCUGGAUAUGAGCAACUGACCUUGGUCGUUUGUGACGUACACCAAGAAAAGUUGGUGUUGCCGGUUGCGUCUUCCACCAGGGCGGUUGGAGGAAAAAGGUCAAGUGUGAUUCCAGCUUGAGACCUUAUUCCCAUUGUUUUCUGCUCUGAGCACUCUCGUCUUGCGGCGAACAGUGGGAACCCACACUCACGUCUUCCACUCAUACAAACUUGAUGCUUGUACGCCAAGUCACUGCUCAUACACCAAAGCAUUUUUAGUGAUUUUCUUUUGCUCGUAAAUUGAAACGCUUGUAAACUAAGGCACUUGUAAAUCGAGGUAUUACUGUAUAUAAAAAAUCUUUCAAACAAGUAAUUUGUGACGGACAAGAAAAACAUCACCACAAAGAACCUCAUCAAGCACACAGGUGUCUUUCACUGUGAUACGGCGCACUUGUAAAAUAAUACCAAUUUCUGUAGUCAUGAAUAAUCACUGCACCCUUCACUGCACAUAGAGGCCUUGUUGGAGGCUGUGUCUUAUGCCUGUGCAGUAAAAGCAUAACUGUCAAACUAACAGGAACACUGGUGCCUCCUUUCUGCAGGUUCUCUUGGUAAGCAUAACUGUCAAACUAACAGGAACACUGGUGCCUCCUUUCUGCAGGUUCUCUUGGUAAGCAUAACUGUCAAACUAACAGGAACACUGGUGCCUCCUUUCUGCAGGUUCUCUUGGUAAGCAUAACUGUCAAACUAACAGGAACACUGGUGCCUCCUUUCUGCAGGUUCUCUUGGUAAGCAUAAUUGCCAAACUAACAGGAACACUUUCAAACUCUCAAACUUUCCGCAGGUUCUCCUGGCCACCACCGGCAGGGACGUUGCCAUGUAGCUGUGGUCAAGGAGGCCCACGGGUCGUGCCGGAACUAGGUGCAGCUGUGCCUGGAGGGUUGCCAUGAUGGCACCACCUUUCACCGUGUCGUGCUGGGCUUCAUCCACCCGACAGGAACGGACAGCAGCGGAGAAGCCGUCAAGGGGAAGCCCUUCAAGGAAGAGUUCCACACACAGCUGUGGCUCGGCCUGCUGGCAAUGGCCCCAGCGACAAUCGUUCUUUUUGGCGCUGGGCCAGACUCGAGAGCUGCAGGACAAACACACACACACACCGUCACGGCCAACACUCUCCACACGCCUGGAGGAGGG
Molecule: long non-coding RNA, 1485 nt
Organism: Eriocheir sinensis (Chinese mitten crab)
Lineage: Eukaryota; Metazoa; Arthropoda; Malacostraca; Decapoda; Varunidae
Exons: 3
Source: RefSeq, a predicted model, not a curated record